GAUGAACGCUGGCGGCGUGCCUAAUACAUGCAAGUCGAGCGAACGGACGAGAAGCUUGCUUCUCUGAUGUUAGCGGCUGACGGGUGAGUAACACGUGGAUAACCUACCUAUAAGACUGGGAUAACUUCGGGAAACCGUAGCUAAUACCGGAUAAUAUUUUGAACCGCAUGGUUCAAAAGUGAAAGACGGUCUUUCUGUCACUUAUAGAUGGAUCCGCGCUGCAUUAGCUAGUUGGUAAGGUAACGGCUUACCAAGGGAACGAGGCAUAGCCGACCUGAGAGGGUGAUCGGCCACACUGGAACGGGAACACGGUCAAGACGCCUAGGGGAGGCAGCAGUAGGGAAUCUUCCGCAAUGGGCGAAAGCCUGACGGAGCAACGCCGCGUGGGUGAUGAAGGUCUUCGGAUCGUAAAGCUCUGUUAUUAGGGAAGAACAUAUGUGUAAGUAACUGUGCACAUCUUGACGGUACCUAAUCAGAAAGCCACGGCUAACUACGUG
RNAcentral lists this ribosomal RNA (497 nucleotides) under uncultured bacterium. RNAcentral's name for it is "partial 16S ribosomal RNA". It matches the Rfam family "Bacterial small subunit ribosomal RNA", at positions 28 to 507 of the family's 1533-position model. The record is from RNAcentral.